Molecule: ribosomal RNA, 553 nt
Filed under: Spiloconis sp. SLW-2008
Lineage: Eukaryota; Metazoa; Arthropoda; Insecta; Neuroptera; Coniopterygidae
Description: partial 16S ribosomal RNA
Rfam family: Bacterial large subunit ribosomal RNA
Source: RNAcentral
GUCGCUUGUUUAUCAAAAACAUGUCUUUUUGAGUUUAAUUUAAAGUCUGGCCUGCCCACUGAUUAUAUAUUAAAGGGCCGCAGUAUUUUGACUGUGCUAAGGUAGCAUAAUCAUUUGUUUUUUAAUUGAAAACUAGUAUGAAUGGUUGGAUGAAAUAUUUACUGUCUCUUAUUAAUAAAUUAAUAAUUUAAAUUUUUAGUAAAAAUGCUAAAAUAUUUUUUAAAGACGAGAAGACCCUAUAGAUUUUAAUUUUAAAUUUAAAAUUUUAUUUAUAUAAUUAUAUUAAUUUUUAUAUUUAAAAUUUAAUUGGGGUGAUUAAAAAAUUUAAUAAACUUUUUGUUGAUUAUAUUCAUUUGUAAAUGUAUUUUUGAUCCAUAUUUAAUGAUUAAAAGUUUAAAUUACCUUAGGGAUAACAGCGUAAUUUUUUUAGAGAGUACUAAUCGAUAAAAGAGAUUGCGACCUCGAUGUUGAAUUAAAGUAACUUUAGGUGUAGAAGUUUAAAGUAUUAGUCUGUUCGACUAAAUAAUCUUUACAUGAUCUGAGUUCAAACCGG